AGCCUGCGAAGGCAAGCGGAUCUCUUAAAGACUGUUCUCAGUUCGGACUGCAGUCUGCAACUCGACUGCACGAAGCUGGAAUCGCUAGUAAUCGCGGAUCAGCACGCCGCGGUGAAUACGUUCCCGGGCCUUGUACACACCGCCCGUCACACCAUGGGAGUCGGAAAUGCCCGAAGUCUGUGACUCAACCGGAAGGAAGGAGCAGCCGAAGGCAGGUCUGAUGACUGGGGUGAAGUCGUAACAAGGUACC
Molecule: ribosomal RNA, 250 nt
Filed under: uncultured bacterium
Lineage: Bacteria
Description: partial 16S ribosomal RNA
Rfam family: Bacterial small subunit ribosomal RNA
Source: RNAcentral